Molecule: ribosomal RNA, 1686 nt
Filed under: Salmonella enterica subsp. enterica serovar Derby
Lineage: Bacteria; Pseudomonadati; Pseudomonadota; Gammaproteobacteria; Enterobacterales; Enterobacteriaceae
Description: partial 23S ribosomal RNA
Rfam family: Bacterial large subunit ribosomal RNA
Source: RNAcentral
CGUUCAACCGCAAAAGAAGCAGAGGGGGCUUAGUGGUGGGGUGACUGCGUACCUUUUGUAUAAUGGGUCAGCGACUUAUAUUCUGUAGCAAGGUUAACCGUAUAGGGGAGCCGGAGGGAAACCGAGUCUUAAUUGGGCGUUAAGUUGCAGGGUAUAGACCCGAAACCCGGUGAUCUAGCCAUGGGCAGGUUGAAGGUUGGGUAACACUAACUGGAGGACCGAACCGACUAAUGUUGAAAAAUUAGCGGAUGACCUGUGGCUGGGGGUGAAAGGCCAAUCAAACCGGGAGAUAGCUGGUUCUCCCCGAAAGCUAUUUAGGUAGCGCCUCGUGAAUUCAUCUCCGGGGGUAGAGCACUGUUUCGGCUAGGGGGCCAUCCCGGCUUACCAACCCGAUGCAAACUGCGAAUACCGGAGAAUGUUAUCACGGGAGACACACGGCGGGUGCUAACGUCCGUCGUGAAGAGGGAAACAACCCAGACCGCCAGCUAAGGUCCCAAAGUCAUGGUUAAGUGGGAAACGAUGUGGGAAGGCCCAGACAGCCAGGAUGUUGGCUUAGAAGCAGCCAUCAUUUAAAGAAAGCGUAAUAGCUCACUGGUCGAGUCGGCCUGCGCGGAAGAUGUAACGGGGCUAAACCAUGCACCGAAGCUGCGGCAGCGAACGUAUCACUUAAAGCGAUUCAGCGGGUUACGAUUGACGGAGCGAAGCGACGUCAAAGCGUAUACAAAGUCGAGUCGGUUUAAGGAUACGUUCGUUGGGUAGGGGAGCGUUCUGUAAGCCUGUGAAGGUGUGUCGUGAGGCAUGCUGGAGGUAUCAGAAGUGCGAAUGCUGACAUAAGUAACGAUAAAGCGGGUGAAAAGCCCGCUCGCCGGAAGACCAAGGGUUCCUGUCCAACGUUAAUCGGGGCAGGGUGAGUCGACCCCUAAGGCGAGGCCGAAAGGCGUAGUCGAUGGGAAACGGGUUAAUAUUCCCGUACUUGGUGUUACUGCGAAGGGGGGACGGAGAAGGCUAUGUUGGCCGGGCGACGGUUGUCCCGGUUUAAGCGUGUAGGUGUGUGUUCCAGGUAAAUCCGGUUCACUUUAACACUGAGGCGUGAUGACGAGGCACUACGGUGCUGAAGCAACAAAUGCCCUGCUUCCAGGAAAAGCCUCUAAGCAUCAGGUAACAUCAAAUCGUACCCCAAACCGACACAGGUGGUCAGGUAGAGAAUACCAAGGCGCUUGAGAGAACUCGGGUGAAGGAACUAGGCAAAAUGGUGCCGUAACUUCGGGAGAAGGCACGCUGACAUGUAGGUGAAGUGAUUUACUCAUGGAGCUGAAGUCAGUCGAAGAUACCAGCUGGCUGCAACUGUUUAUUAAAAACACAGCACUGUGCAAACACGAAAGUGGACGUAUACGGUGUGACGCCUGCCCGGUGCCGGAAGGUUAAUUGAUGGGGUCAGCGCAAGCGAAGCUCCUGAUCGAAGCCCCGGUAAACGGCGGCCGUAACUAUAACGGUCCUAAGGUAGCGAAAUUCCUUGUCGGGUAAGUUCCGACCUGCACGAAUGGCGUAAUGAUGGCCAGGCUGUCUCCACCCGAGACUCAGUGAAAUUGAACUCGCUGUGAAGAUGCAGUGUACCCGCGGCAAGACGGAAAGACCCCGUGAACCUUUACUAUAGCUUGACACUGAACAUUGAGCCUUGAUGUGUAG